RNAcentral lists this long non-coding RNA (668 nucleotides) under Equus caballus (horse). Its description in RNAcentral is "lncRNA (ENSECAG00000052262.1)". The record is from RNAcentral. Lineage: Eukaryota; Metazoa; Chordata; Mammalia; Perissodactyla; Equidae.
GGACUACUGAGUUGGAAGGAGGAGACGGGGCUGGAGCAGGAGACGGAGAGGGCAGGUUCCAGGCCGGCGCUGGAAGCAAACAACUUUCCUCUCUGAGCCAGUCACAGGAAGGAUGCAGCCAGGAAGACCAGUGAGGCUACCUUUCCACAGUACUGGGAACAUCUCCGCUGAAAACCCAUCAUGGUUCUGGGUCAAAAGCAGCACGGAAACAAGUGGAAUUGCCUGCAGACUCAUUCUGAAUAAAGGGUGGGUCCACAUGGAGAAGGCUGCAUCCAGAUGUGCUUGUGAUUGGGGUCAGCAGAUGCGAAGCAAGGCAUGGAAAUGAUACAGCAUCUAGACCAACUGAUUCAGGAUUGAUACUUUCUGAAGGGAAGACACUUAGAAGACAUAUACAAUUAAAACAAGAUGAUCAGCAAGUGGGUACCAUGUGCUGAAGAGAGAAUUUCAUGUAAUUACAAUUGAUUAUGUAACUGCUUCUUGUCACAUUGGUCUACAUAACUGGAGUCAAGUUUUCUUGAAGUGAGAAAUUUUUCAUCUACUGGUAUGUGUUGUUCAAGGAACAUCUGACUGGAGGAGCUGUUGAGACCUGCUGCUGCAUCAUCACGGCUGCAGCACACUGGUUUCCUAUUUGCCCUUCUGUGUCAUCAUCCAGCCUGGGAAUGCCAGAG